AAUGUACUCCCUCCGUCCACAAAUACUUGUCGGAGAAAUUGAUGUAUCUAGAUGUAUUUUAUUUCUAAAUACAUACACUUUUAUCCAUUUCUCCGACAAGUAUUUUCGGAUGGAGGGAGUAUAUG
Triticum aestivum (bread wheat) is the source of this 125-nucleotide non-coding RNA. The record is from Rfam. NCBI's taxonomy places the organism in Eukaryota, Viridiplantae, Streptophyta, Magnoliopsida, Poales, Poaceae.